This 73-nucleotide transfer RNA is filed under the name Stegodyphus mimosarum. It matches the Rfam family "tRNA". From Rfam's summary of the family: Transfer RNA (tRNA) molecules are approximately 80 nucleotides in length. Their secondary structure includes four short double-helical elements and three loops (D, anti-codon, and T loops). The record is from Rfam by way of RNAcentral. Lineage: Eukaryota; Metazoa; Arthropoda; Arachnida; Araneae; Eresidae.
GCCUUUUUGGUGUAACUGGAAGCACAUCCAGCUUGCAAUCGGAAGGUCCGAAAUUCGAGUUCCGGUGAAGGCA